RNAcentral lists this long non-coding RNA (223 nucleotides) under Elaeis guineensis (African oil palm). Its description in RNAcentral is "long non-coding RNA (EGUI_LNC078032)". Lineage: Eukaryota; Viridiplantae; Streptophyta; Magnoliopsida; Arecales; Arecaceae. The record is from RNAcentral.
UUCGAGACCCGGCAAGAAAGAGAAAAAAAAAGAGAAGGAGGGAAAUGUGAAGGAACAGCGGUGGGCUACCCCUACAAAAAAUGGAGGUCGAACUACACUAAAAGCACAAAGGACCUCGUCUCUAUGAAGAGGGAGGAAGAGAAAGUAAGAUCUAUGAUCGCGAACAAAAGGCAAAUCGACACGGCGAUGGCUAGGAACCUCCAAGCGGUGUCGACACCGAACC